GAAAGAUACAGCUCUGAGGUCGCUGAGCUCACUGGCUGUUCUCCUGGGACUCUCUCCAGCCUCCACUCCAAUUAGGGGACUUUCCCUGGCUGCCUCAGCUCCUUCCUGGGUCCCCUGAAUCAGAUAGGCCAGAGCAGAUGUGGAAGAGGCCCUGCUGGGCUCCUCAAGCUGAACCCAGCUCCACUCCCCAGAGCUUUGCCGUGGCUCCCGCAUCUGUUCCACUGCCACACUUAAUUCUGCUGAGAUGACCAGAGCAGGAAGCAGGAAAGCUGACUUCCCUGAAAGAGGUAACCUGCCUGGGGCUGUCAGGAGGAAGGCCCAUGGGAAUGCUCCCAGCAUCAGGGGACUUUGUGGUUUUCUACCAGAAGAAGGCACUGUACUGGUGUCUUCCAGAGAAGUCCGGGCAGUCAAUGCAAUUUAACCCCAUGCUCAAUUAUUCAACACAAAUAAGAGUCGAAUUAAGAUUCAUGAUUUCAUGAUUAUUGUUGCAUUACCCAAAUAUCUAACUGAUGGUGGACAUAUUUACGUGAGUCCACCAGUCUGAUCCCUAAAAUCUUCCUAAGACUUUCAACCUCCAUAAAUCAUUUUUGGUAGCAGCCAUCUUGUAAUUACCACAGAGUCCAAAGUGGAGAAGGCCCCUCUGCAGACUCCAUGCCCC
RNAcentral lists this long non-coding RNA (658 nucleotides) under Homo sapiens (human). RNAcentral's name for it is "HSALNT0004142". Lineage: Eukaryota; Metazoa; Chordata; Mammalia; Primates; Hominidae. The record is from RNAcentral.